AUGAAGGUGGAGGCCAUGCGGGUGCUGCGCUACCUCGUGUUGGAGUACCCCGACAGCACGCGGAGCGUGUGCGGCCAGCUGGCCACACAGCUGCUGAGCUGCUUCAACGAGGAUGACAUGAAUGUGCGCUGGAGCUCCAUGAGGCUCUUUAAGCUGCUGCUGCUGCAGCUGGGCAAUAGACAGCUGCUGCCGCAGGCAGAGAGGAGUCUGCUGCUGCUCUGCAUCCACCUGAACGAGGACCUCCCCAAAAUGGCCCAGACCGCUCGGGAUACCCUGAGCCAAGCCGCCAAGCUCCUGGGCUGGAAGGAGCUGCAACGCCUGGCCAAGAAGGCGGACAGCAUCAAGAUUGCCAACUGCGUGCUUCAGAAGGCAGACAGCGCCCUGGAGCCGUACCUGGAGCAGUGCGUGCAGCACCUGCACAGCCCCCAGGUGCAGAUGCGGGAGGCGGCCGUGCGCUUCCUGGGGCUCCUGGCUCAGCGGCUCCACAGUGAGAACCCGGAGCGGAUGCCGGACAUCCGCAGAGCCCUGCAGAGUGCCCAGGAGGACAGCGAGCCGGCCGUGCGCUGCCUGGUGCAGCAAACGCUGCUCAUCCUCAGAAAACUGAAAGGCACGGCGCCCACCAGGCCCGGGGCGCUGCACUGCUGGCUGCAGAGGAUGUGUGGGAACUAG
This 669-nucleotide long non-coding RNA is filed under the name Numida meleagris (helmeted guineafowl). RNAcentral describes it as "lncRNA (ENSNMEG00000022727.1)". Lineage: Eukaryota; Metazoa; Chordata; Aves; Galliformes; Numididae. The record is from RNAcentral.